CAGUCGAGCGAGCGGAACCAACAGAUUUACUUCGGUAAUGACGUUGGGAAAGCGAGCGGCGGAUGGGUGAGUAACACGUGGGGAACCUGCCCCUAAGUCUGGGAUACCAUUUGGAAACAGGUGCUAAUACCGGAUAAUAAAGCGGAUCGCAUGAUCAGCUUUUGAAAGGCGGCGUAAGCUGUCGCUAAGGGAUGGCCCCGCGGUGCAUUAGCUAGUUGGUAAGGUAACGGCUUACCAAGGCGACGAUGCAUAGCCGAGUUGAGAGACUGAUCGGCCACAUUGGGACUGAGACACGGCCCAAACUCCUAUGGGAGGCAGCAGUAGGGAAUCUUCCACAAUGGACGCGAGUCUGAUGGAGCAACGCCGCGUGAGUGAAGAAGGUUUUCGGAUCGUAAAGCUCUGUUGUUGGUGAAGAAGGAUAGAGGUAGUAACUGGCCUUUAUUUGACGGUAAUCAACCAGAAAGUCACGGCUAACUACGUGCCAGCAGCCGCGGUAAUACGUAGGUGGCAAGCGUUGUCCGGAUUUAUUGGGCGUAAAGCGAGCGCAGGCGGAAAAAUAAGUCUAAUGUGAAAGCCCUCGGCUUAACCGAGGAACUGCAUCGGAAACUGUUUUUCUUGAGUGCAGAAGAGGAGAGUGGAACUCCAUGUGUA
This 651-nucleotide ribosomal RNA is filed under the name uncultured bacterium. RNAcentral's name for it is "bacterial SSU rRNA". It matches the Rfam family "Bacterial small subunit ribosomal RNA", at positions 59 to 677 of the family's 1533-position model. The record is from RNAcentral.